UGAAGUGCCAUACUACUUCUUCCUAAGUUGAGGAUACAUUUUAUUUUCCAGGUAGUGAAUUGUUUUCUGAUGCCAGAGCUAAGUCUUUUCUGCCUGGAGAAAUGGGAGCAUCAUUUUCCCACUGGUAAGGAUUUGUCUCCCACUUGAUGGAUGAAGUCACUCCAGUCUUCCCUUGACAGGAGGGUUGCUAUUUGAGUCACAAAGCUUUAGGCAUAUGAUGUUCUGUGCUGAUUUCAGUCACUUUCACCUGAUGACGCAGAUAAUGUGAUGGUGAAAGCAAUGAAUAGUGUUCAUUAUCUGUUCAUGAGGAUGUACAUUAUCUGUUGUGGAGACAGCUUCAUUAAUGUGUGACUAAGCAUACUAUCUACAGAGCACCACACCAGAAGAAAGAGAGAUAGAAAAGAAAGUAAAACCCAGGCUUCUUCUGGCCUAUAUUUAUAGUUAGCAUGACAUUAAUUGGAAGAGAUAAGAGAACCAGUUUAAGCCAGCUGUACUCAGCUUCUCUGAAAGUAUAACCCAAACAAUCAUGAAGCUUCUACCAUACAGAGAAGCUUCCAGAAACUUCCAGAAACCUCUUGAAUGAAUUAGAAUAGAAAAGAUAUCUACACAUUAGAGCAAUACUUCCUGCACUAAGAAAUGCAAACUAGCAAAGAUUUCCCCCAAGGCAGCCCAUAAUACAAUGCUCAUUUUAACCCAGUCACAUCCAUUAGGGACUGUCCCCAUUUGAACUGCAGGUAAAUAUGUAGAUGUCAGUUAGGAACCAGAGUUGAAGGACACAUUUCAGCCAAGCAAAAAACACUCAAGGAGGGUGUAAAGAAGAGCUAGAGAGGGGUGUGGCAUGGGGGCAAGACAGAGAAUCUUGGUGAGGCCCAGUUGGGUUCCCUACCCUUGCUUUAGUCAGUUGCAAAACUUCUGCUAGUUUCAGUGCAGUUUGAUGACUGCUGGAGGGUAACCAAUAGCCUUUGCUUGUUUACUGUCCAAGAGAUUUAGCUGUGUCACUUUUGCUCUAUACUUCGCUUCAGUGCAGCUACAAUAAAACACGGGAAGGCGUUUUCUGCGACCCAUCAAAAUGAAUGUAAUGGGUCUCCCUCACAGGUGUUCGCUCAGCACAAUAUUAUUAACCUGAAAUGUCAGCCCUCUAUUUCGUUCAUCAGAUGUUUGUGGCCUUGGUCUUCAAUCAUUUACCAUAGAGCAGUCUUAUCCAGGUCAAUGGGGCUAAUUGAUGUAGGAAUGGCUAUGGACAUUUGAUCUUUGUUGAGAAUGGAAAGGAGGGGCUUAGGAGCCAGUCAGGCACCAGGCGAGGACUGAGUGACAUGAACAGAUAUUGGUGGAAUAAAGGGCCAGGUGGCAGAUAACUUCACAAUGACUACUUCUGAGUGAUCAACUCAAACAGUUCUUGACCAGCAGCCUCUCAUACUAGGGAAGCCCAGGUGAACAAGUAUGUCUUCAACUGAAGUCUAAACAUUAACAGUAUGGGAGACUGCCACAUUUCCACACCAGGUUUGGAUUGGUCAGCCCUGUGGCAAACCAUGAAAGAGAGUAGGAGAACAGCAGACUGGGGGGUGGUGGUCCUUAUUAGUAGUAUGCAGGGAAUGAACUGGAAAGGGCUCCCCAUGCCCUAGUGGAAAGAGUACCCCCAGGUGGUCUCUGAAACUAAAACACAACCUGAGGCUCAGAGGAUCCUGGGGACCCUAAGUAGAAAUCAGACAAUAGCCAUCAGAGGAAAAGAAAGCCAAGCUAAUCAAUUUGCAACCAAUUUCAUUUUGAAAUUCAAAUGUGGCGACGUUAGCAGCAACACUUUGGUCCUGUCCCCCCCCCCCAAUCUGUUCAAAACAGAUGUGCAGCUUAGUCAUGUAGUAGAUGCUCUCAAAGAAACCGUGCAUGUCCCAGAGAUAUCUGAAAAAUAAACAACAGUUAUUUUCUACAUUGGCUGAAUGUUGAUGGAAUCAGAUGCUAGAGGAGAUAACAUUAUGAUGAAUGGGAAUGGUUUGUAAAGGACAAUUGAUUCUUAAACAAAGCAGAUGUGAACAAUGUAUUUCAGCAGCAGCAGAAUAAGCAUUGGAAGUUCAAGGAGCAUUGCUUAUGCUAUGAGCACAAAAGAAGCCAACAAGGCUUACCAUCUUAUGGCAUUCCAAUGAGAGCCCAAGGUCUGCUAAGAACCUACUAGAUAUCCAUCUAAGAAGUACCCAGAGUAGUUGCACUAGGAUUUCAAUGGUUCUGAUUUGAGUAUCACUGAUAUUAGAUAUCACCCUAUAUCCACCAGUGCAUAAAAUUAUGCUAAUUAAAUAUAUACAUCAGUGUUCUAAAUCUAUACACAUUUGCUUAACUGGGAGUAAACUUAAUUUAAAUCACUGAGACUUAUUUCUGAGUCAUAAAAUCUGCCUCUCGUCUUGCAAGAGUUUCUUUAUUGCCUUCAGAAACAGGUCUUCCAGUCACCCAAAGUGGAUAUCAGGUGGCUCCUUGCCACUACACAGUUCAAAUACAAUAUGAUUCUACAAGCCCUCCAUGGAGCUAUGAGACUGUAAAUGCACAGAAAGUAGGAAAAAUCCAAACAAUCACAGAGAAGAUGUAGAAAUAGCAAAAUGGAAGGCUAACAAAUAUCAUUUAAUGUAAUAAAAAACACAUGUUUAGGUAUAAUAGCAAACAGUAAUUGACAAUGAAGAUCUAGGGGAAGGACUGCUCCCUUUAGUCACAAAAGAAAUUUGACAAAUGCAUACCCUCCAACAUUUAUCUGAUGAACAGGGGCAUCGUAUUCAACAUCAAUGUUUUUAUUAAUACCUUGCCCAUCUGACUGGGUUUUCCCAGCCACUCUGGGCAGCUUCCAACAUAUUAAAAAACACAAUAAAACAUUUAAAAACGUCCCUAUACAGUGCUGUCUUCAGAUGCCUUCUAAAGGUUGUAUAGAUCCUUAUUUCCUUGGCUUGGGGGCCGGAUAACUCCAUACCCUCCAACAUUUUUCCGAUGAAAAUAGGGACGUCCUAAGGAAAAGCGGGAGAUUCUGGAAUCAAAUCAGAAACCAGAACAGCUUCUGUAAAUCCAAGACUGUCCCUGGAAAAUAGAGACACUUGAAAGGUCUAUAAAUGGAAACCAAAUAACGGAGAAUGAUGAUUUAGACUUUAACCCUUCUAAGUUGUCUGUUACACGUCAUAACUUUUUCUGCAGCUGCUGACUGUCAUAUCUUCUUCCACCAUCACUUUGGAGUACAAUGGCAAUGAUAUUUCCAAUGCUGGGCCAAGUCCAACCUAGUCACUGUUACUAGGUGGAUGAUAGCUAUACUGAGCCUCUUAGGCUUGCCGGUCAGAAGGUCGAUGGUUCAAAUCCCUGCGAUGGGGUGAGCUCCAAGAGGCUCAGUGGUUUAGACCACAGCGCCACUCGUGUCCCACUACACUUGCUUAGCAAGCGCUCGAUGAUUGCUGGAUGACACAUAUCAGGAUUACAUACCAAUUCUGCUGAUACCUGCAAUCACAAGACACAGAGAGAAAACUGGUAAGCUGCUGAUUAAGUAGUUUUGUGCUAUUCAAUGAUAACAUUUCUAAUGUUCAUAAAUCAAAGGCACAACACAUCUGAUCAUCAAAGAACACUGUGCUAGGAUGUACCAGCAUAUUAUGAUUUUCAGGUAUAGCUAAACACAUGAACAAGGCAUGUAUGAAAUAAGUAAUGUGCAUCCGUUGUAAAUGAAACCUAGUGAUGAAAAAAAGGGGGGAGAUGGGGAAAACAAAACAAAAGCCUAGCUUCUACCUGGUUUGGAUCAGCAGAACCAAUUCCAGACAUAGGAUGACAUUAAUGUAUCCUGGCACUGGGACUCUACAGUUAAUACAAGAUAAGUCUACAUGCCUGAUUUAUAAAGUUCCCAGGAACUCAUCAGAACCCUCCGUGAAGGCCUUUGAUUACAGUUUCUGCUUUAAGAAAAAGCAAUCCUCAAACUUUCAGACAUCUCUCUCUUUCUCUACCUUAAGACUGUGGGAUCCUGUGGCCAUAAGCAGCUUAUGUUUUUAAUACUUCUGUUCAAAUUUGUUCCACUUCUUGCUGCACAGUAGAAAUGUUUUCUAAUUUUGGCUAAUUAGGAUUUAUCGGGAUUCAGCCAGUGCAUGCAAAACGGGAACUCAGAAAGAAUAUUCUUUGGCAUCGGGUAUGUGCUUCCAUGCCAUCAGUUUUACAAGGAACAGAUAACACCGGCCAAUAAAUCUAAGACAGAUUUCCCUCCUGAGUUAUGAAUUGUAACAAAUGUAGGGGAAAGUUUUCAUCAUUGGGAGGGGCAGUGGCGUUGACACUGGUUCUGCUAACUUCAACUAAAAAGCAUCUCAACCAAGAAGUCCAUGUUUUAUUCAAUCCCUGAGAUCAUGUUCCAUUAGAGAGCAAGAGUAAGUCUCCAGCCAUGGGACAUUAACCUUGGCAAAAGCAAGGGAGUGAUACAUGACAAACUCACCCCAAUGACACCAAUGGAAUGAAACAACAAACAAAAUUCUGCCCCUACAAUGUUCAGAGAAGCUUAAUUCUAGGUAACUGUGCAUAAGAUGUCUUUUUUUUUUAAUUCUGUUUUUAAUAUUUUGCUGAGAGGCCACCACCCAGCCCUGACAGGAACCAUGGGUUAGAAGGACACAAUACUUGCCUUGCCCCGGCCACUGGCAACCCAUGCUAUACCACUGCUGUAUGCUAGAAUGUACCUGCAUAUUAAUGAGAUUCCCUGCAAGCCUGUCAAGGGAAAGGGCCAUUUUCCUCAUUCAGGUCAAUGGUGCCAUGCCAUCAGGGACCCACACAGUGAAUUUAGCAGGAGCACACACACCCAGACACUGCAGGGCUGGCUGACCAAAUCUUGGCAUAAGCAGUGCUGGAUUUAUGUAUAAGAUAAACAAGGUAUAGCUUAGGGCCCCCCUCUCUUGGGGACCCUAAAAAAAUUUAAAAGGAAAAAAACUAGAUGUACAUCCUGAUCAAAUUUGCAGAUGACACCAAACUGGGAGGGGUGGCUAACACCCCAGAGGACAGGAUCACACUUCAAAACGACCUUGACAGAUUAGAGAACUGGGCCAAAACAAACAAGAUGAAUUUUAACAGGGAGAAAUGUAAAGUAUUGCACUUGGGCAAAAAAAAUGAGAGGCACAAAUACAAGAUGGGACACCUGGCUUGAGAGCAGUACAUGUGAAAAGGAUCUAGGAGUCUUGGUUGACCACAAACUUGACAUGAGCCAACAGUGUGACACGGCAGCUAAAAAAGCCAAUGCAAUUCUGGGGCUGCAUCAAUAGGAGUAUAGCAUCUAGAUCAAGGGAAGUAAUAGUGCCACUGUAUUCUGCUCUGGUCAGACCUCACCUGGAGUACUGUGUCCAGUUCUGGGCACCACAGUUCAAGAAGGACACUGACAAACUGGAACAUGUCCAGAGGAGGGCAACCAAAAUGGUCAAAGGCCUGGAAACGAUGCCUUAUGAGGAACGGCUAAGGGAGCUGGGCAUGUUUAGCCUGGAGAAGAGGAGGUUAAGGGGUGAUAUGAUAGCCAUGUUCAAAUAUAUAAAAGGAUGUCACAUAGAGGAGGGAGAAAGGUUGUUUUCUGCUGCUCCGGAGAAGCAGACACGGAGCAAUGGAUCCAAACUACAAGAAAGAAGAUUCCACCUAAACAUUAGGAAGAACUUCCUGACAGUAAGAGCUGUUCGACAGUGCAAUUUGCUGCCAAGGAGUGUGGUGGAGUCUCCUUCUUUGGAGGUCUUUAAGCAGAGGCUUGACAACCAUAUGUCAGGAGUGCUCUGAUGGUGUUUCCUGCUUGGCAGGGGGUUGGACUCGAUGGCCCUUGUGGUUUCUUCCAACUCUAUGAUUCUAUGAUUCUAUGAUUUCCAAAAUAUAAGAUAAAAAACAAAUAAAAUAAAACCUACAUACAGCAACAGUGUUUUGUGUUGUGUAGGCUCCGAUGAUGUAAGAAAUGGCCCUGCCUGCUAGCCUGCUCCCUAAAAUAUCACUGGUUUGCUCAUUUCUAUAUAUAGGGUACCAUAUAGCAUAUAUUCAACACAAAAAACCACAACAAUUUGUUGUUGACAAAGGACAACUGGACAUAUAAAGGGCCCCAUUACCUUCAGUAGCUUAGGGCCUCAUUAAACCUAAAUCCAGCCCUGGGCAUAAGCGAAGUGAUGUCCAUUCUCAGCUAAAGAAACCGGAUUGUGACAAAAACCAUAUAUUGUAAAUUUAUAAUUUAUUAUGUAAAUUUGUCAUUAUAUUAUUCCACCCCAUUCAUUUCAAAGCAAAGGAAGCACAUUGCAAAUGUGUGUGGGGGAGGGGGGACAGUAAUCAAUUUAUUAUUAUUUGCAGAUUGAAAGCAACAAUGAAUACCACUGUAUUGGCUUGAUUGAUUCCAUUCCAUACAUGGAAGAAAUAUGGAAAUUUAUGUCCACAUAUCAAUCAAAAUUAUCCAAUAUCUGUAAUUCUGAAUCCCUCAGGAUGGGGCUAAAGAUAGUGGGAGCUACACUUUGACUCAGAAAACCAAUGAAUUGGGAAAGGAUCAGUAAUCUCCUCACUCUCACAGCCCUGUCUUUCAUAACUAUUUUUCUUUUUAACAGCUUGCAUUUGUGUAGAAUGUGUAAAUUGUCCCCAAGGUUUUAAUUAUUUCCUCCCAACUUAUCCCAAAGUACUUUCUUCAUCUUUCAUGGAGACCCUCAAUGUACUUUGAGAAGCAUUAAGAAAAACGCACAGUGAAAUAUUGAGCCAUUGGUCUGAUAGCAUAUGCUAAUUCCUCUGUGGUUCUAGGAUAAAGAUGAGAAUUAUUUAUAACAUAUUUUUCAUACGGAUGAUUACUGUUAACAAGGUGACGUACUAAAUGACAAUGGGGAGCAUGCUGUUAAUGUCCUAAUGGACCACUUGGGUCUCGAAUUGUUUUGUUUCAUGGUAAUAAAUACGAUUAAUUUGGCUUUCCCUGGCUCUCUUCUCACUGAAUUGUCACGUCUUUGGGUGGCUAAAUUUAAAACCCAAGAAGUAAGCCAAUUACAACUGGCUAUUUGCUAUGCCCUCCCUAAUUAACUGGCUGCAUGUGUAAGCAAAUAAUCAAAAAUUCAGCUAUAAUACUUGGAACAAAACAAGGAGAGCGACCAGGGCAAGAUUAUUUCUUAUAACCGCCUGGGAUCUAUAGCUGUUUGUGCAGCAGGUGAGGGGUGGGGACAAACACACUGAUCCUCUCUCCUUUUCACUUAUCAAAAAGAAAAGGAACUCAUUCAUUCCCCCAGAUGAUAAAUGGAAGGAGGAGAAAAUGGAAUAGUGGUGGUAGCUCCCUCAGUGGGCAUCUUUCUCAGGUGCCUUGAAACCUGUCAGCACCCCUGCCACAGCAUUCCUUCUAUUAUCUGCCUUCCUUCCUUCUUUGCCCCUGAUCAAGUGGGGUCCUUGGCUCUUCCCCUCACUCCUACUCUGAAACAUGGCCUGGCAGACCUUGGCAGUCACUGCUGACUGUCAGAGCUCAGUAGGAUUCUUUACAGGCAAGCCACAAUGGGCUCAUUGAUGUGGUGACAGGUUGCAGCUCUCGCCACUUUGAGCUUGCCAAGUGCACUAUGGGGGAAGGGAUCAAAUUCUCACUGAUUCUGUUCUUAAUGUUUGGCUGCUGGGAAUACUGUUAUGUGUUCAGUCACAGCCUGGGCAUGGAUACAGUCUAGGUUAGGAAACGAAGUAUGUGUGUGUGAAUUAAAUAGAUUUAAAUUUGGAUAUGAAAGCAGCUAAGUCAGAAUGCAGAACCAAAACAGGUGGGAUGAAGCUCCGGAAUGACUUCAAUAAUGGGGCGGGGGGGGUUGUAGCUCAGCGGUAGUGCAUCUGCUUUGAAUAUGGAAGGCUCCAGGUUCAAUCCCCAAGAUCUCCAGGUAGAUUUGGGCAUGUAUGAAACCCUGGAGAGUCACUUCCUGGCAGUGUUGACAAUACUGACCCAGAAACUACAACUAGUCUAGAAUGUGGCAGCUAGACUGGUGACUGGGAGUGGCCACCGAGACCAUAUAACGCCAGACCUGAAAUACCUACAUUGGCUCUCAGUACGUUUCCAAGUACAGUUCAAAAUGUUGGUGCUGAGCUUUAAAGCCCUAAACGGCCCUCGGCUCAAUAUACCUGAAGGAGCAUCUCCCCAUCGUUCAGCCCGGACACUGAGGUCCAGCUCUGAGGGCCUUCUGGCAGGUCCCUCACUGAGAGAAGUGAGGGUACAGGAAACUAGGCAGAGGGCCUUCUUGGUAGUGAAACCCGCCUGUAGAAUGCCUUCCCAUCAGAUGUUAAGGAAAUAAACAACUAUCUGACUUUUAGAAGACAUCUGAAGGCAGCCAUGUUUAGGGAACUUUUUCAUGUUUGAUGCUUUAUCACAUUUCUAACAUUCUGUUGGGAGCUGCCCAGAGUGGCUGGGGAAACCCAGUCAGAUGGGCAGGGUAUAAAUAAUUAUGAUUAUGAUUAUGAUUGCUAGAUGGAUCAAUGACCUUACUGAAACUAAGCAGCUUCCUACGUUCACAAGUUUAUAAUUCUCUUAGCGACGGAGUGUGCUGUCCUGCUUCCUGAGGUGUACUUGCAGGAGGGGGCACAGAGGGUAAACAAAGCCCGUCACACACCAACCCAGCCUUCGCCGCCAAAACAACACCAGCCCCGAGCUGCUUUGUGAGGCUGGAAUAAUCCCAGCCUCACCCUUGAGGGGUUGGGUUCGAAGGGUGUAUGGCAUCCUUCUCAUGCCGCCCUCACAAAGCAGUACAGGGCUGGCUCGGGGAGGGCAGUGUGAGCAGCGUCCCCACCCAAAUGUGCCUGGGGCAAUCACCCCAGCAGCCCAAGCCCCAUGCUAUGCUCCAGAACUACCGUAUUUUUCGCUCUAUAAGACGCAGCAGACCAUAAGACGCACCUAGUUUUUGGAGGAGGAAAACAAGAAAAAAUAUAUUCUGAAUCUCAGAAGCCAGAACAACAAUAGGGAUUGCUGCACAGCAAAAGCAGCGAUCCCUCUUGCUGUUCUGGCUUCUGGGAUAGCUGCGCAGCCUGCAUUUGCUCCAUAAGACGCACACGCAUUUCCCCUUACUUUUUAGGGGGGGGGAGUGAGUCUUAUAGAGCAAAAAAUACGGUAUUUUCUGAGGCUAGUACACAGCUAUCCCCUUAGGCCAAUGAAAAUACAUUAAUGUGUUGAGCACUGGCAUACAGGGGGGUGGGGGAGCGCACCACACCGGGUACCAUUUGGGGAAAGGGUGCCAUCGCUGCCACUGCCCCUGGGAUGCAUGCCGCACCCUCCCGGGACGCACAGCACAUGCCAUGCCAUGCAACCCCGGGACACCCCUGCGGGCGGCGCUCCACGCUCCCACGGCACGUGCCAUACCCCUGCCACGCUUCUCACGCGCCACACCCCCACCUGUUCUCCGAUCUGGGGGCUGCAGCAUGUUGUUCCGCCACUGGUGUUGAGGUGGUACUGGGGAGCCGGAAGUUCUAAGAUGCAGAUGAUGCUGUCCUAAGAACCAGAGCAGAAUUUGUUUGUUGGCUACCUGUUAUGGCUAUUUGACUUGCUAAUCCAUCUUUACCUACCUUUAUCUUAAUGCAAAAGCCCAGAAUCAAGCUAUGGCCUAUUUAACAACAUGUGCUUUUGUCUUCCAUUCAGCCUUGCCCCGCAAAUGACGCACAAUGAUAUUUCACACUUGACAAUAUUUGAUGGCUGGUAUUAAAUGACAUUUAGAACUUGACCUUAUUUGAUAGUUAACAUGCAAUUGUAUUUGGUAUUUGAUUGUACUUGUUAAUUGACUUUAAUGGCAUUUCAUAACUGACAGCUUUUGAUGGAUGGCAUGCAAUGACACUUAAUAUCUGAUAAUCUUUUCCAUCAACAGCUAGAAGAAGCCAUCUCUGGUGCCUCCCAGGCAAGUCCAAAGUAAAAGUUCUCAUUCAAAAUAUAGUUUUGAGACUGG
Podarcis lilfordi (Lilford's wall lizard) is the source of this 9860-nucleotide non-coding RNA. The record is from the annotation of a GenBank genome assembly. Lineage: Eukaryota; Metazoa; Chordata; Lepidosauria; Squamata; Lacertidae.